Molecule: ribosomal RNA, 497 nt
Filed under: uncultured bacterium
Lineage: Bacteria
Description: partial 16S ribosomal RNA
Rfam family: Bacterial small subunit ribosomal RNA
Source: RNAcentral
GAUGAACGCUGGCGGCGUGCCUAAUACAUGCGAGUCGAGCGAACGGACGAGAAGCUUGCUUCUCUGAUGUUAACGGCGGACGGGUGAGUAACACGUGGAUAACCUACCUAUAAGCCUGGGAUAACUUCGGGAAACCGUAGCUAAUACCGGCUAAUACUUUGAACCGCAUGGUUCAAAAGUGAAAGACGGUCUUGCUGUCACUUAUAGAUGGAUCCGCGCUGCAUUAGCUAGUUGGUAAGGUAACGGCUUACCAAGGCAACGAUGCAUAGCCGACCUGAGAGGGUGAUCAGCCACACUGGAACUGAGACACGGUCCAGACUCCUACGGGAGGCAGCAGUAGGGAAUCUUCCGCAAUGGGCGAAAGCCUGACGGAGCAACGCCGCGUGAGUGAUGAAGGUCUUCGGAUCUUAAAACUCUGUUAUUAGGGAAGAACAUAUGUGUAAGUAACUGUGCACAUCUUGACGGUACCUAAUCAGAAAGCCACGGCUAACUACGUG